This 2904-nucleotide ribosomal RNA is filed under the name Escherichia coli. RNAcentral's name for it is "bacterial LSU rRNA". It matches the Rfam family "Bacterial large subunit ribosomal RNA". Lineage: Bacteria; Pseudomonadati; Pseudomonadota; Gammaproteobacteria; Enterobacterales; Enterobacteriaceae. The record is from RNAcentral.
GGUUAAGCGACUAAGCGUACACGGUGGAUGCCCUGGCAGUCAGAGGCGAUGAAGGACGUGCUAAUCUGCGAUAAGCGUCGGUAAGGUGAUAUGAACCGUUAUAACCGGCGAUUUCCGAAUGGGGAAACCCAGUGUGUUUCGACACACUAUCAUUAACUGAAUCCAUAGGUUAAUGAGGCGAACCGGGGGAACUGAAACAUCUAAGUACCCCGAGGAAAAGAAAUCAACCGAGAUUCCCCCAGUAGCGGCGAGCGAACGGGGAGCAGCCCAGAGCCUGAAUCAGUGUGUGUGUUAGUGGAAGCGUCUGGAAAGGCGCGCGAUACAGGGUGACAGCCCCGUACACAAAAAUGCACAUGCUGUGAGCUCGAUGAGUAGGGCGGGACACGUGGUAUCCUGUCUGAAUAUGGGGGGACCAUCCUCCAAGGCUAAAUACUCCUGACUGACCGAUAGUGAACCAGUACCGUGAGGGAAAGGCGAAAAGAACCCCGGCGAGGGGAGUGAAAAAGAACCUGAAACCGUGUACGUACAAGCAGUGGGAGCACGCUUAGGCGUGUGACUGCGUACCUUUUGUAUAAUGGGUCAGCGACUUAUAUUCUGUAGCAAGGUUAACCGAAUAGGGGAGCCGAAGGGAAACCGAGUCUUAACUGGGCGUGAAGUUGCAGGGUAUAGACCCGAAACCCGGUGAUCUAGCCAUGGGCAGGUUGAAGGUUGGGUAACACUAACUGGAGGACCGAACCGACUAAUGUUGAAAAAUUAGCGGAUGACUUGUGGCUGGGGGUGAAAGGCCAAUCAAACCGGGAGAUAGCUGGUUCUCCCCGAAAGCUAUUUAGGUAGCGCCUCGUGAAUUCAUCUCCGGGGGUAGAGCACUGUUUCGGCAAGGGGGUCAUCCCGACUUACCAACCCGAUGCAAACUGCGAAUACCGGAGAAUGUUAUCACGGGAGACACACGGCGGGUGCUAACGUCCGUCGUGAAGAGGGAAACAACCCAGACCGCCAGCUAAGGUCCCAAAGUCAUGGUUAAGUGGGAAACGAUGUGGGAAGGCCCAGACAGCCAGGAUGUUGGCUUAGAAGCAGCCAUCAUUUAAAGAAAGCGUAAUAGCUCACUGGUCGAGUCGGCCUGCGCGGAAGAUGUAACGGGGCUAAACCAUGCACCGAAGCUGCGGCAGCGACGCUUAUGCGUUGUUGGGUAGGGGAGCGUUCUGUAAGCCUGUGAAGGUGUGCUGUGAGGCAUGCUGGAGGUAUCAGAAGUGCGAAUGCUGACAUAAGUAACGAUAAAGCGGGUGAAAAGCCCGCUCGCCGGAAGACCAAGGGUUCCUGUCCAACGUUAAUCGGGGCAGGGUGAGUCGACCCCUAAGGCGAGGCCGAAAGGCGUAGUCGAUGGGAAACAGGUUAAUAUUCCUGUACUUGGUGUUACUGCGAAGGGGGGACGGAGAAGGCUAUGUUGGCCGGGCGACGGUUGUCCCGGUUUAAGCGUGUAGGCUGGUUUUCCAGGCAAAUCCGGAAAAUCAAGGCUGAGGCGUGAUGACGAGGCACUACGGUGCUGAAGCAACAAAUGCCCUGCUUCCAGGAAAAGCCUCUAAGCAUCAGGUAACAUCAAAUCGUACCCCAAACCGACACAGGUGGUCAGGUAGAGAAUACCAAGGCGCUUGAGAGAACUCGGGUGAAGGAACUAGGCAAAAUGGUGCCGUAACUUCGGGAGAAGGCACGCUGAUAUGUAGGUGAAGUCCCUCGCGGAUGGAGCUGAAAUCAGUCGAAGAUACCAGCUGGCUGCAACUGUUUAUUAAAAACACAGCACUGUGCAAACACGAAAGUGGACGUAUACGGUGUGACGCCUGCCCGGUGCCGGAAGGUUAAUUGAUGGGGUCAGCGCAAGCGAAGCUCUUGAUCGAAGCCCCGGUAAACGGCGGCCGUAACUAUAACGGUCCUAAGGUAGCGAAAUUCCUUGUCGGGUAAGUUCCGACCUGCACGAAUGGCGUAAUGAUGGCCAGGCUGUCUCCACCCGAGACUCAGUGAAAUUGAACUCGCUGUGAAGAUGCAGUGUACCCGCGGCAAGACGGAAAGACCCCGUGAACCUUUACUAUAGCUUGACACUGAACAUUGAGCCUUGAUGUGUAGGAUAGGUGGGAGGCUUUGAAGUGUGGACGCCAGUCUGCAUGGAGCCGACCUUGAAAUACCACCCUUUAAUGUUUGAUGUUCUAACGUUGACCCGUAAUCCGGGUUGCGGACAGUGUCUGGUGGGUAGUUUGACUGGGGCGGUCUCCUCCUAAAGAGUAACGGAGGAGCACGAAGGUUGGCUAAUCCUGGUCGGACAUCAGGAGGUUAGUGCAAUGGCAUAAGCCAGCUUGACUGCGAGCGUGACGGCGCGAGCAGGUGCGAAAGCAGGUCAUAGUGAUCCGGUGGUUCUGAAUGGAAGGGCCAUCGCUCAACGGAUAAAAGGUACUCCGGGGAUAACAGGCUGAUACCGCCCAAGAGUUCAUAUCGACGGCGGUGUUUGGCACCUCGAUGUCGGCUCAUCACAUCCUGGGGCUGAAGUAGGUCCCAAGGGUAUGGCUGUUCGCCAUUUAAAGUGGUACGCGAGCUGGGUUUAGAACGUCGUGAGACAGUUCGGUCCCUAUCUGCCGUGGGCGCUGGAGAACUGAGGGGGGCUGCUCCUAGUACGAGAGGACCGGAGUGGACGCAUCACUGGUGUUCGGGUUGUCAUGCCAAUGGCACUGCCCGGUAGCUAAAUGCGGAAGAGAUAAGUGCUGAAAGCAUCUAAGCACGAAACUUGCCCCGAGAUGAGUUCUCCCUGACUCCUUGAGAGUCCUGAAGGAACGUUGAAGACGACGACGUUGAUAGGCCGGGUGUGUAAGCGCAGCGAUGCGUUGAGCUAACCGGUACUAAUGAACCGUGAGGCUUAACCUU